GUGGGGAAUUUUGGACAAUGGGGGCAACCCUGAUCCAGCCAUGCCGCGUGCGGGAAGAAGGCCUUCGGGUUGUAAACCGCUUUUGUCAGGGAAGAAAUCCUUUGGGUUAAUACCUCGGAGGGAUGACGGUACCUGAAGAAUAAGCACCGGCUAACUACGUGCCAGCAGCCGCGGUAAUACGUAGGGUGCGAGCGUUAAUCGGAAUUACUGGGCGUAAAGCGUGCGCAGGCGGUUUUGUAAGAUCGAUGUGAAAUCCCCGGGCUCAACCUGGGAACUGCAUUGGUGACUGCAAGGCUGGAGUGCGGCGGAGGGGGAUGGAAUUCCGCGUGUAGCAGUGAAAUGCGUAGAGAUCGGGAGGAACACCAAAGGCGAAAGCACUCUGCUGGGCCACAACUGACACUGAGAGACGAAAGCGAGGGGAGCAAAAGGGAUUAGAAACCCUAGUAGUCC
RNAcentral lists this ribosomal RNA (450 nucleotides) under uncultured bacterium. RNAcentral's name for it is "partial 16S ribosomal RNA". It matches the Rfam family "Bacterial small subunit ribosomal RNA", at positions 354 to 796 of the family's 1533-position model. The record is from RNAcentral.